CCAGUUGGCUGGGCAGCCGCGCUUUAUCAAUGCCGAAAGGCGGUAGGGUGAGGAAAGUCCGGGCUCCACGGAAACACGGUGCCGGAUAACGUCCGGCGAGGGCGACCUCAGGGAAAGUGCCACAGAAAGCAAACCGCCUGUCAUGACAGGUAAGGGUGAAAGGGUGGGGUAAGAGCCCACCGCAUCUCCGGCAACGGAAAUGGCACGGUAAACCCCACCGGGAGCAAGACCGAAUAGGGAUGACGCGGCAGGCCGAAAGGCCUUCCGGCCGGUUUCCAGGCCAGUCAUCCGGGUGGGUUGCGCGAGGCAGCGUGCGAACGCUGUCCCAGAGGAAUGGCUGCCACGUUCCGGUUUACGCCGGAGCCAUACAGAACCCGGCUUACAGGCCAACUGGCGAU
RNAcentral lists this RNase P RNA (398 nucleotides) under Rhizobium leguminosarum. Its description in RNAcentral is "RNase P class A". It matches the Rfam family "Bacterial RNase P class A". From Rfam's summary of the family: Ribonuclease P (RNase P) is a ubiquitous endoribonuclease, found in archaea, bacteria and eukarya as well as chloroplasts and mitochondria. The record is from RNAcentral. Lineage: Bacteria; Pseudomonadati; Pseudomonadota; Alphaproteobacteria; Hyphomicrobiales; Rhizobiaceae.